This 208-nucleotide ribosomal RNA is filed under the name uncultured bacterium. RNAcentral describes it as "partial 16S ribosomal RNA". It matches the Rfam family "Bacterial small subunit ribosomal RNA", at positions 568 to 774 of the family's 1533-position model. The record is from RNAcentral.
CAGGUAGGUGGUCUCAUUUGUCUGGGGUGAAAGCCUUGGGCUUAACCCCAAGAAGUGCCUCGGAAACGGUGAGACUUGAGUACUGGAGAGGGUCGUGGAAUUCCCGGUGUAGCGGUGAAAUGCGUAAAGAUCGGGAGGAACACCAGCGGCGAAGGCGGCGACCUGGACAGUUACUGACACUCAACUGCGAAAGCGUGGGGAGCAAACA